This 574-nucleotide long non-coding RNA is filed under the name Mustela putorius furo (domestic ferret). RNAcentral describes it as "lncRNA (ENSMPUG00000026853.1)". Lineage: Eukaryota; Metazoa; Chordata; Mammalia; Carnivora; Mustelidae. The record is from RNAcentral.
GAAUUAUUUCCCAUUCCCAAAUCCACAAGUGCCUAGCUUAUUCUUUGUGAAAUAUGAAGUAGUUUAAUUUAUACAGAAUCAGUAGGCAAAAGAACCAAGAUAAAAAUCCUGGGAAUUAUUCGUAUGAGAGGAUUGAAGAGAAGUUCGUUACAUGAGCAUGAAUUUAGUGCUAUUAUUUGAUCAUCCCCAGCAUUACAGAGAAAGAAAGUGCACAUGCACACCCACGAGAACAAAGAAGGGAAGGGACAGAGGAAGAGAGAGAGAGAAUCCUAAGCAGUUUCCACAUUCAGCGCAGAGAAUGAUGCAAGAUCAAUCACAAGACUGAGAUCAUGACCUGAGCCGCAAUCAAGAGUUGGAUGCUUAACUGAUUGAGCCACCCAGGCAUCCAGAUACUGCUUUUAAAAAAAUAGCACUUUACUAUUUACAAUUUGCCCUCGUGUGUCAGUAUGUGUGUAAGGUAAAUUCCUAGAGAUGUAAUUUGUGAAUCACAGCAAAAAAAAUUUUUUUUUAAUGGCCAAAGAUUGCCAUUUCUGCCACACCUAACCCCUAACAAACUGUAGAAGCAAUUCAGAAU